This 49-nucleotide small RNA is filed under the name Jaculus jaculus (lesser Egyptian jerboa). RNAcentral describes it as "7SK RNA (ENSJJAG00000008120.1)". Lineage: Eukaryota; Metazoa; Chordata; Mammalia; Rodentia; Dipodidae. The record is from RNAcentral.
GUCACCCCACUGAUACUAAUGCUGAUUCUGCUUAUCUGGCUGGCUGGGC